GUCGAGGCCCUCAGACGGGUACCAGCGAUGUGGCGUGACGGACUCAACCGCAUAGAAUAUGCGGCCAUACUCGUGUAUAGAAAAAGCUACGUUUAGCGCGAGUUUUAGUGAGGCGUAGAAUUUGCUCGAAGACACGUAAGAAGUAUCGCUAAUUUGAAGCGCCAGCCCGCAAUUUCUGUUGCGAAUAGUGUCCACCUCUUCAGGGUGGAACCCUUCGAGAGCUUCUUUACUGCAAGGCAAUACAAUCAAGCAUUCGGCUUAAAAAAGAAAAAAAAAACUCAGUCUUGGGCCCGCCGGUUGAUACUUCAGAAAAUAUUAUUAGCACGAACGACAGCCAGAGCGUUAAUUGCGUCUGCAAUAAUUUCCCGAUAAAAUGAGUUCCCCAAUUAUUAGUGGUCGCCGUGGCACGCCAAUGCGAAUGCGUCUCACGAGCCUUCCGUAAUCACUUCCAAAAUAAAUAGCUGGCUCUUACUGAGCGAAAUAACUUUACGUACUGAAAGGCUUUGACGCAUCUCGGCGAAAAGGCGAACUAUUUAAGUCACACUAUUGGGAGCUCCUGAAUUCAUUGCUUGUGCUGGCAACACCGUUCAAAUAAACAAA
Non-coding RNA from Dermacentor albipictus, 600 nucleotides. NCBI's taxonomy places the organism in Eukaryota, Metazoa, Arthropoda, Arachnida, Ixodida, Ixodidae. The record is from RefSeq and is a predicted model, not a curated record.